CGAGGAAUUGGGGCUUAUGGUAUUCUGUCUAGAAUUUGGUAGUGAAAUGAAUAAAGAUGAAUAGAAUGGUAGGUGAAAGAAAUGGCAAGGUUAAGGUAUCAGUGGUAAAGCUUUGUAUUUGUUGUUUUUAAGGUGCUAUGGAAUCAGUGAUAGAAGAGACUGACAGUGAUGAUGAGAACUAAUAAAAGAACAAGAGAGAGGACCCUCUCUUCUUCUGGGACUGCAGGGAAGAAAGACAAGGUUUUCCAAACAGAAAUGUCACCUGCAAGACAGGCA
RNAcentral lists this long non-coding RNA (276 nucleotides) under Fukomys damarensis (Damara mole-rat). Its description in RNAcentral is "lncRNA (ENSFDAG00000029110.1)". The record is from RNAcentral. Lineage: Eukaryota; Metazoa; Chordata; Mammalia; Rodentia; Bathyergidae.